Molecule: long non-coding RNA, 552 nt
Filed under: Anser brachyrhynchus (Pink-footed goose)
Lineage: Eukaryota; Metazoa; Chordata; Aves; Anseriformes; Anatidae
Description: lncRNA (ENSABRG00000005328.1)
Source: RNAcentral
CAAUUUCAUAACAGUCUAUGUCCUGAAAGACAACGUGAAUAAAGCACUGACCCUAGGGGAAAGUGGAAAGAGGAGAAAGAAUGGCCUAUUGAAAGAGUGCGGCUAUGGAGGAGUUUUGUUUGUUAUAUUAAUAUCUCUGUUCAGCGCUGAUUGAAAGCAGGAGGUGCAGAGGUGUGUGGAAGCAGCCUACCUGUUACGGUCACAAGGAAGAAAACCUCCAAGUGGAAGUCCUUGAUCCAGAUGGUGCUGUAUGCUGAAACAGAGAGCAGUCUCCCUGUCAAAUCAACGAGAAAUCACGCCGAAUGCUGGAUACACAGGUGCCUGUACCCUCAGGCCACUGGUCCAAAUCCAGCUCAGCAUCCAGUCCUGCUCAGCUCCGAAGGCUGUAACUAAGUGACGGGUGUCUGGUGGCCUGGGCUUAAUGAGGAAGCUGUACCAGCCCUAUUUGAGUGGAAAGGUGCUGAAAUGCCUCCUAACUGAUACCUUUCUACCGCAGAAAUACACAGUGCUUAAAUGCCUCUGGAGAGUAAAACGUUGUUUUAAACCCAAAAC